RNAcentral lists this ribosomal RNA (1436 nucleotides) under uncultured organism. RNAcentral's name for it is "partial small subunit ribosomal RNA". It matches the Rfam family "Bacterial small subunit ribosomal RNA". The record is from RNAcentral.
CGAACGCUGGCGGCGUGCUUAACACAUGCAAGUCGAACGGAAAGGCCCUGCUUUUGUGGGGUGCUCGAGUGGCGAACGGGUGAGUAACACGUGAGUAACCUGCCCUUGACUUUGGGAUAACUUCAGGAAACUGGGGCUAAUACCGGAUAGGAGCUCCUGCUGCAUGGUGGGGGUUGGAAAGUUUCGGCGGUUGGGGAUGGACUCGCGGCUUAUCAGCUUGUUGGUGGGGUAGUGGCUUACCAAGGCUUUGACGGGUAGCCGGCCUGAGAGGGUGACCGGCCACAUUGGGACUGAGAUACGGCCCAGACUCCUACGGGAGGCAGCAGUGGGGAAUAUUGCACAAUGGGCGGAAGCCUGAUGCAGCAACGCCGCGUGCGGGAUGACGGCCUUCGGGUUGUAAACCGCUUUCGCCUGUGACGAAGCGUGAGUGACGGUAAUGGGUAAAGAAGCACCGGCUAACUACGUGCCAGCAGCCGCGGUGAUACGUAGGGUGCGAGCGUUGUCCGGAUUUAUUGGGCGUAAAGGGCUCGUAGGUGGUUGAUCGCGUCGGAAGUGUAAUCUUGGGGCUUAACCCUGAGCGUGCUUUCGAUACGGGUUGACUUGAGGAAGGUAGGGGAGAAUGGAAUUCCUGGUGGAGCGGUGGAAUGCGCAGAUAUCAGGAGGAACACCAGUGGCGAAGGCGGUUCUCUGGGCCUUUCCUGACGCUGAGGAGCGAAAGCGUGGGGAGCGAACAGGCUUAGAUACCCUGGUAGUCCACGCUGUAAACGGUGGGUACUAGGUGUGGGGUCCAUUCCACGGGUUCCGUGCCGUAGCUAACGCUUUAAGUACCCCGCCUGGGGAGUACGGCCGCAAGGCUAAAACUCAAAGGAAUUGACGGGGCCCCGCACAAGCGGCGGAGCAUGCGGAUUAAUUCGAUGCAACGCGUAGAACCUUACCUGGGUUUGACAUGGAUCGGGAGUGCUCAGAGAUGGGUGUGCCUCUUUUGGGGUCGGUUCACAGGUGGUGCAUGGCUGUCGUCAGCUCGUGUCGUGAGAUGUUGGGUUAAGUCCCGCAACGAGCGCAACCCUUGUUCACUGUUGCCAGCACGUUAUGGUGGGGACUCAGUGGAGACCGCCGGGGUCAACUCGGAGGAAGGUGGGGAUGACGUCAAGUCAUCAUGCCCCUUAUGUCCAGGGCUUCACGCAUGCUACAAUGGCUGGUACAGAGAGUGGCGAGCCUGUGAGGGUGAGCGAAUCUCGGAAAGCCGGUCUCAGUUCGGAUUGGGGUCUGCAACUCGACCUCAUGAAGUCGGAGUCGCUAGUAAUCGCAGAUCAGCAACGCUGCGGUGAAUACGUUCCCGGGGCUUGUACACACCGCCCGUCAAGUCAUGAAAGUUGGUAACACCCGAAGCCGGUGGCCUAACCGUUGUGGGGGAGCCGUCGAAGGUGGGACUGGUA